This 87-nucleotide transfer RNA is filed under the name Delitschia confertaspora ATCC 74209. Its description in RNAcentral is "tRNA-Tyr". Lineage: Eukaryota; Fungi; Ascomycota; Dothideomycetes; Pleosporales; Delitschiaceae. The record is from RNAcentral.
CUCCGCUUGGUGUAGUUGGUUUAUCACGUUCGACUGUAAUUGCAUUAUGCCAUCGAAAGGUCCCUAGUUCGAUUCUGGGAGCGGAGA